UUGCUCAUUUACACAGUUGCCGGCAAU
RNAcentral lists this small RNA (27 nucleotides) under Bombyx mori (domestic silkworm). Its description in RNAcentral is "ovarian small RNA-2402". The record is from RNAcentral. Lineage: Eukaryota; Metazoa; Arthropoda; Insecta; Lepidoptera; Bombycidae.